RNAcentral lists this ribosomal RNA (2839 nucleotides) under Klebsiella pneumoniae. Its description in RNAcentral is "23S ribosomal RNA". It matches the Rfam family "Bacterial large subunit ribosomal RNA". Lineage: Bacteria; Pseudomonadati; Pseudomonadota; Gammaproteobacteria; Enterobacterales; Enterobacteriaceae. The record is from RNAcentral.
CUUUAAACCAAGAAGGUUGCACCAUCAGCAGACAGUGAAAACCGGCGAUGUCCGAAUGGGGAAACCCAGUGCAAUUCGUUGCACUAUCGUUAACUGAAUACAUAGGUUAACGAGGCGAACCGGGGGAACUGAAACAUCUAAGUACCCCGAGGAAAAGAAAUCAACCGAGAUUCCCCCAGUAGCGGCGAGCGAACGGGGAGCAGCCCAGAGUCUGAAUCAGCUUGUGUGUUAGUGGAACGGUCUGGAAAGUCCGACGGUACAGGGUGAUAGUCCCGUACACCAAAAUGCACAGGUUGUGAACUCGAAGAGUAGGGCGGGACACGUGGUAUCCUGUCUGAAUAUGGGGGGACCAUCCUCCAAGGCUAAAUACUCCUGACUGACCGAUAGUGAACCAGUACCGUGAGGGAAAGGCGAAAAGAACCCCGGCGAGGGGAGUGAAAAAGAACCUGAAACCGUGUACGUACAAGCAGUGGGAGCACCUUCGGGUGUGACUGCGUACCUUUUGUAUAAUGGGUCAGCGACUUAUAUUCUGUAGCAAGGUUAACCGUAUAGGGGAGCCGCAGGGAAACCGAGUCUUAACUGGGCGUUAAGUUGCAGGGUAUAGACCCGAAACCCGGUGAUCUAGCCAUGGGCAGGUUGAAGGUUGGGUAACACUAACUGGAGGACCGAACCGACUAAUGUUGAAAAAUUAGCGGAUGACUUGUGGCUGGGGGUGAAAGGCCAAUCAAACCGGGAGAUAGCUGGUUCUCCCCGAAAGCUAUUUAGGUAGCGCCUCGUGAACUCAUCUUCGGGGGUAGAGCACUGUUUCGGCUAGGGGGUCAUCCCGACUUACCAACCCGAUGCAAACUACGAAUACCGAAGAAUGUUAUCACGGGAGACACACGGCGGGUGCUAACGUCCGUCGUGAAGAGGGAAACAACCCAGACCGCCAGCUAAGGUCCCAAAGUCAUGGUUAAGUGGGAAACGAUGUGGGAAGGCACAGACAGCCAGGAUGUUGGCUUAGAAGCAGCCAUCAUUUAAAGAAAGCGUAAUAGCUCACUGGUCGAGUCGGCCUGCGCGGAAGAUGUAACGGGGCUAAACCAUGCACCGAAGCUGCGGCAGCGACACGAUGUGUUGUUGGGUAGGGGAGCGUUCUGUAAGCCUGCGAAGGUGACCUGUGAGGGUUGCUGGAGGUAUCAGAAGUGCGAAUGCUGACAUAAGUAACGAUAAAGCGGGUGAAAAGCCCGCUCGCCGGAAGACCAAGGGUUCCUGUCCAACGUUAAUCGGGGCAGGGUGAGUCGACCCCUAAGGCGAGGCCGAAAGGCGUAGUCGAUGGGAAACAGGUUAAUAUUCCUGUACUUGGUGUUACUGCGAAGGGGGGACGGAGAAGGCUAUGUUAGCCGGGCGACGGUUGUCCCGGUUUAAGCAUGUAGGCUGGUUAUCCAGGCAAAUCCGGAUAAUCAAGGCUGAGGUGUGAUGACGAGGCACUACGGUGCUGAAGUAACAAAUGCCCUGCUUCCAGGAAAAGCCUCUAAGCAUCAGGUAACAUCAAAUCGUACCCCAAACCGACACAGGUGGUCAGGUAGAGAAUACCAAGGCGCUUGAGAGAACUCGGGUGAAGGAACUAGGCAAAAUGGUGCCGUAACUUCGGGAGAAGGCACGCUGGUGUGUAGGUGAAGCCCCUGCGGGUGGAGCUGAGACCAGUCGAAGAUACCAGCUGGCUGCAACUGUUUAUUAAAAACACAGCACUGUGCAAACACGAAAGUGGACGUAUACGGUGUGACGCCUGCCCGGUGCCGGAAGGUUAAUUGAUGGGGUUAUCCGUAAGGAGAAGCUCUUGAUCGAAGCCCCGGUAAACGGCGGCCGUAACUAUAACGGUCCUAAGGUAGCGAAAUUCCUUGUCGGGUAAGUUCCGACCUGCACGAAUGGCGUAAUGAUGGCCAGGCUGUCUCCACCCGAGACUCAGUGAAAUUGAACUCGCUGUGAAGAUGCAGUGUACCCGCGGCAAGACGGAAAGACCCCGUGAACCUUUACUAUAGCUUGACACUGAACAUUGAGCCUUGAUGUGUAGGAUAGGUGGGAGGCUUUGAAGCGUGGACGCCAGUCUGCGUGGAGCCAACCUUGAAAUACCACCCUUUAAUGUUUGAUGUUCUAACGUUGGCCCCUGACCGGGGUUGCGGACAGUGUCUGGUGGGUAGUUUGACUGGGGCGGUCUCCUCCCAAAGCGUAACGGAGGAGCACGAAGGUUAGCUAAUCCUGGUCGGACAUCAGGAGGUUAGUGCAAUGGCAUAAGCUAGCUUGACUGCGAGCGUGACGGCGCGAGCAGGUGCGAAAGCAGGUCAUAGUGAUCCGGUGGUUCUGAAUGGAAGGGCCAUCGCUCAACGGAUAAAAGGUACUCCGGGGAUAACAGGCUGAUACCGCCCAAGAGUUCAUAUCGACGGCGGUGUUUGGCACCUCGAUGUCGGCUCAUCACAUCCUGGGGCUGAAGUAGGUCCCAAGGGUAUGGCUGUUCGCCAUUUAAAGUGGUACGCGAGCUGGGUUUAGAACGUCGUGAGACAGUUCGGUCCCUAUCUGCCGUGGGCGCUGGAGAAUUGAGGGGGGCUGCUCCUAGUACGAGAGGACCGGAGUGGACGCAUCACUGGUGUUCGGGUUGUCAUGCCAAUGGCACUGCCCGGUAGCUAAAUGCGGAAGAGAUAAGUGCUGAAAGCAUCUAAGCACGAAACUUGCCCCGAGAUGAGUUCUCCCUGAGACUUUAAGUCUCCUGAAGGAACGUUAAAGACGAUGACGUUGAUAGGCCGGGUGUGUAAGCGCAGCGAUGCGUUGAGCUAACCGGUACUAAUGAACCGUGAGGCUUAACCUU